This 468-nucleotide ribosomal RNA is filed under the name uncultured bacterium. RNAcentral describes it as "partial 16S ribosomal RNA". It matches the Rfam family "Bacterial small subunit ribosomal RNA", at positions 28 to 507 of the family's 1533-position model. The record is from RNAcentral.
GACGAACGCUGGCGGCGUGCUUAACACAUGCAAGUCGAACGGAAAGGCCCUGCUUUUGUGGGGUGCUCGAGUGGCGAACGGGUGAGUAACACGUGAGUAACCUGCCCUUGACUUUGGGAUAACUUCAGGAAACUGGGGCUAAUACCGGAUAGGAGCUCCUGCUGCAUGGUGGGGGUUGGAAAGUUUCGGCGGUUGGGGAUGGACUCGCGGCUUAUCAGCUUGUUGGUGGGGUAGUGGCUUACCAAGGCUUUGACGGGUAGCCGGCCUGUGAGGGUGACCGGCCACAUUGGGACUGAGAUACGGCCCAGACUCCAACGGGAGGCAGCAGUGGGGAAUAUUGCACAAUGGGCUGAAGCCUGAUGCAGCAACGCCGCGUUCGGGAUGACGGCCUUCGGGUUAUAAACCGCUUUCGCCUGUGACGAAGCGUGAGUGACGGUAAUGGGUAAAGAAGCACCGGCUAACUACGUG